This 925-nucleotide ribosomal RNA is filed under the name uncultured archaeon. Its description in RNAcentral is "bacterial SSU rRNA". It matches the Rfam family "Archaeal small subunit ribosomal RNA", at positions 21 to 922 of the family's 1478-position model. The record is from RNAcentral.
CCCCACUGCUAUCGGGAUGGGACUAAGACAUGCCAGUCGAGCGUCUCCAAGCUAUGGAAGAGACGCGGCACACAGCUCAGUAACACGUGGCUAACCUGCCCUUGGGACAAGGACAACUCCGGGAAACUGGGGCUAAUCCCUGAUAAGUGAGAACUCCUGGAAUGGAUUCUCGCUCAAAGGACGUUUAGACCAUGCUUCUAGGCGUCGCCCAAGGAGGGGGCCGCGGCCGAUCAGGUUGUUGGUGAGGUAACGGCUCACCAAGCCUUUAACCGGUACGGGCCGUGAGAGCGGAAGCCCGGAGAUGGGCACUGAGACAAGGGCCCAGGCCCUACGGGGCGCAGCAGUCGCGAAAACUCCGCAAUACACGAAAGUGUGACGGGGCCAUCCCGAGUGCCAUCCGCUGAGGAUGGCUUUUCCCCAGUGUAUAAAGCUGGGGGAAUAAGGAGAGGGCAAGCCUGGUGUCAGCCGCCGCGGUAAUACCAGCUCUCCGAGUGGUGGGGAUGUUUAUUGGGCCUAAAGCAUUCGUAGCCUGCUUGGCAAGUCCUCCGUUAAAUCCAACGAUUCAAUCGUUGGGCUGCGGGGGAUACUGUCCAGCUAGGGGGCGGGAGAGGCCGACGGUAUCCCCGGGGUAGGGGUGAAAUCCUAUAAUCCCGGGAGGACCACCAGUGGCGAAGGCUGUCGGCUAGAACGCGCUCGACGGUGAGGGAUGAAAGCUGGGGGAGCGAACCGGAUUAGAUACCCGGGUAGUCCCAGCUGUAAACGAUGCAGGCUAGGUGUUGGCGCGGCUACGUGCCGCUCCAGUGCCGCAGGGAAGCCGUUAAGCCUGCCGCCUGGGAAGUACGGCCGCAAGGCUGAAACUUAAAGGAAUUGGCGGGGGAGCACCACAAGGUGUGAAGCUUGCGGUUUAAUUGGAUUCAACGCCGGG